RNAcentral lists this long non-coding RNA (1556 nucleotides) under Anas platyrhynchos platyrhynchos (common mallard). RNAcentral's name for it is "lncRNA (ENSAPLG00000017970.1)". Lineage: Eukaryota; Metazoa; Chordata; Aves; Anseriformes; Anatidae. The record is from RNAcentral.
AUUUCUUUAAGAAUGAAAUUUAAUCAGUUCUCAACACUUUUGAAUAAUGAUUUGCUCUAUGAAAGUGAGCUGGCAGUUCUGAAAAUAUUUUUCAGGGCCCUGUGCCCACUCACACUGAGACUAGGCAGACAUCUUGCUGUGCUGUGUUGUUGCAACUCCCUUUUUUCCUGACAGUGGAUUGAGUGAGGAGGAGACCCAAAUGAUAGCUGAGGUUUUUAGACACCUUUUAUUGAUUAGACUGUUAAUGGCUUUAAGCUCUAAUUAUUAAUAGCAGAUAUCAGCUCACACGAUACUUUUACUUAUUCCUGCAGACAGACCACAUGCAGAUAUGCAUUCACAGCUGCAUGGUUGGAGCUAUAGCUGGGAUACCCAGAAGCAGAGGAUCAGACCAACAUCAGACCAACGGCUUGCAACUAAUUUUCUCCAAGUGGAUGACUUUAACCAGAACAUAUAAGGCACAUUCUAAGACACAAAGACCUUUCAUUCUCCUUCAUCUACACCCUGCACCCCUGAAGAACUAUAGGCCACUGUGCAAGAAGGAUGGAGAGGCUACAUUGAUCCCAAUGGACAGACUCUUGUAUUUGCGAAGAAGAAGAGAAAGAUGAAAUUUAAAUAUAAUCUAAAUUAAGUCUAUUUAAAAGCAGAUUUUUCUGUUUUCUAUUUGAAGUGGCAUAUACACAAGCUUAUAAAGCACCAAGUAAAACAGUAAGUUAUGUACUUUGCAAUCUCUGCAGUAGCUCUGCAGAGAAAUGUGACAGCCAAAGUGCUCUUCGUAAUAACUCACACAUGGCCUUCAUAAUAUCUUGUACUGAGAGACACAGGGUUGGCUGAGGCACUGUGGUUAUCCUUAUCAUUUUUUUUCAAAAGAUCAUUAACUCUUGUUUGGUAGAAAGGCAGAGAGGAUUUUGGUAGUUUGUCUGAGAAAGACAACUCUGCAGUAAUAGCUGCACUGUAAGUUGACUUCCACUUUGCUAGAUUUUGAACCCUUGGGACCUGGUUAUGGGCGAGUAGAAAUUGGCACAACUCUAUUCAUUUCAAUUAGGUCACAUCAUUUACACAAACUGAAGCUAUGGCCCAUUAUUUCUUCAUGCCUGCUCUAUCAGUGAAUCCAGGUAUGUGAUUAUAUACAAGAGUGCUCAUUAAAGUUAAUGCCAUGUACUUAAAGCCAUGAGCCUAAUGUUAAAUUGGUAUUUAAGUGCCCUGUGGUAUCAGCCUCAGAAUGCAGUGCUGCCUGCUAAGAUGUUACAACAAUUUUUUUGGAAAGGACUUGCUAAUUUGCAGUGAGCAACUUUCCUGUCAGCCAUCACAUAGACAGAUUAAUUAGCUGUUGUUUCCAGUAGUUUCCUCUGUCUCAAAAUAUUUCUUACCUUGUGCCGUGGAUGUAGAAAUAAGGAGAGAAUUCAUGGAACAUUUUCUUUAAUGAAGAAAUUACUCUUACUGAAUUAGGUUUGUCUUAAUUUGAAGCAGAACUCUGAAAUUCUCUUCCUAGUCUUGCCGUUGAAACCCAGUAAGAUCUUUUACAAAUGAUAUAAUCUUGGAGGCUCACAUAAUCCCAU